ACCAGACUCCUACGGGAGGCAGCAGUGGGGAAUCUUCCGCAAUGGGCGAAAGCCUGACGGAGCAACGCCGCGUGAUCGAAUGAAGGCCUUCGGGUUGUAAAGAUCUGUUGACAGGGACGAAUAAGCAAUGCGAAUAGUUUUGUGUAUGACGGUACCUGUUUAGAAAGCUCCGGCUAACUACGUGCCAGCAGCCGCGGUAAUACGUAGGGAGCAAGCGUUGUCCGGAAUUACUGGGCGUAAAGGGCGCGUAGGUGGGCGCUUAAGUCAGGUGUGAAAACCCGAGGCUCAACCACGGGAGUGCAUUGGAAACUGGCGGGCUGGAGUGCCGGAGAGGUAAGCGGAAUUCCUAGUGUAGCGGUGAAAUGCGUAGAUAUUAGGAGGAACACCAGUGGCGAAGGCGGCUUACUGGACGGCAACUGACGCUGAGGCUCGAAAGCGUGGGGAGCAAACAGGAUUAGAUACCCGAGUA
This 469-nucleotide ribosomal RNA is filed under the name uncultured bacterium. RNAcentral describes it as "bacterial SSU rRNA". It matches the Rfam family "Bacterial small subunit ribosomal RNA", at positions 330 to 792 of the family's 1533-position model. The record is from RNAcentral.